This 489-nucleotide ribosomal RNA is filed under the name uncultured bacterium. Its description in RNAcentral is "partial 16S ribosomal RNA". It matches the Rfam family "Bacterial small subunit ribosomal RNA", at positions 28 to 507 of the family's 1533-position model. The record is from RNAcentral.
GACGAACGCUGGCGGCGUGCUUAACACAUGCAAGUCGAACGGAAAGGCCCCCAUCUUGGUGGGUGUGCUCGAGUGGCGAACGGGUGAGUCACACGUGUAUGAUCUGCUCUGUACUUCGGGAUAAUCUUGGGAAACUGGGUCUAAUACCGGAUAGGCCCAUGGUUUAGUGUCUCAUGGUGGAAAGAUUAUUGGUUUGGUGCAGGAUGAGCGCGCGGCCUAUCAGCUUGUUGGUGGGGUAAUGGCCUACCGAGGCGGUGGCGGGUAGCGGGUCUGAGGGGGUGGCCGCCCGCAAGGGGACUGGGCUACGUCGCAGACGAGUACGGGAGGAAGCAGUGGGGGAUGGUGCACAAUGGGAGUAAGGCUGAAGGAGCGGCGGCGUGUGGGGGAAGACGGCCGUGGGGGAGGAAGCUCUUUUCGUUAGGGACGGAGCCGGACUUUGUUUGGGCGUGGGGGCGGGUACUUGGUAAAGAAGCACCGGCUAACUACGUG